ACAAACUUGGUCAUUUAGAGGAAGUAAAAGUCGUAACAAGGUUUCCGUAGGUGAACCUGCGGAAGGAUCAUUAACGAAACAAACUUGUUGAGAUGGCGAGGAAAUUUCCCAAAAGUUUUCCUUUGCCAAACCACGGUUCUGCCCGCCACGAAUACCAACCGGCAUACUGUCAAGGUGAUGCCGGAAGGGGACUGGCGGGCUCAUCCGUUUCAACCCUAUCUGUGAACCAAUAACAAAACCUUUGCUUCGGCAGCACGCUAACCCGCUGACGUCUUUAGGGGCGUGGCGGGUCGGGCGGUAAGGCUGCCAGAAGCCCCCCAUUUUCAAACCAGUUGUUGCCAAAACCUAUUGAAGUCUGAACAGAUAAAGUCAUCUCGUAUGGCAAAAUCUUAUUAAAACUUUCAGCAACGGAUCUCUUGGUUCCCGCAUCGAUGAAGAACGCAGC
This 445-nucleotide unclassified non-coding RNA is filed under the name uncultured fungus. RNAcentral describes it as "partial contains small subunit ribosomal RNA, internal transcribed spacer 1, and 5.8S ribosomal RNA". The stretch from base 1 to 73 matches the Rfam family "Eukaryotic small subunit ribosomal RNA", at positions 1759 to 1831 of the family's 1831-position model. The record is from RNAcentral. Lineage: Eukaryota; Fungi.